UGGGGAAUCUUAGACAAUGGGCGCAAGCCUGAUCUAGCCAUGCCGCGUGAGUGAUGAAGGCCUUAGGGUCGUAAAGCUCUUUCGCUGGGGAAGAUAAUGACGGUACCCAGUAAAGAAACCCCGGCUAACUCCGUGCCAGCAGCCGCGGUAAUACGGAGGGGGUUAGCGUUGUUCGGAAUUACUGGGCGUAAAGCGCGCGUAGGCGGAUUGGAAAGUUGGGGGUGAAAUCCCGGGGCUCAACCCCGGAACUGCCUCCAAAACUAUCAGUCUAGAGGUCGAGAGAGGUGAGUGGAAUUCCGAGUGUAGAGGUGAAAUUCGUAGAUAUUCGGAGGAACACCAGUGGCGAAGGC
This 350-nucleotide ribosomal RNA is filed under the name uncultured bacterium. Its description in RNAcentral is "bacterial SSU rRNA". It matches the Rfam family "Bacterial small subunit ribosomal RNA", at positions 355 to 722 of the family's 1533-position model. The record is from RNAcentral.